UACAGAGGUCCCAAGCGUUGUUCGGAUUCACUGGGCGUAAAGGGUGCGUAGGCGGUCGGGUAAGUCUUAUGUGAAAUCUCACAGCUUAACUGUGAAACUGCAUUGGAUACUAUCCGGCUCGAGGAAUGGAGGGGAGACUGGAAUACUUGGUGUAGCAGUGAAAUGCGUAGAUAUCAAGUGGAACACCAGUGGCGAAGGCGAGUCUCUGGACAUUUCCUGACGCUGAGGCACGAAAGCCAGGGGAGCAAACGGG
Molecule: ribosomal RNA, 253 nt
Filed under: uncultured bacterium
Lineage: Bacteria
Description: partial 16S ribosomal RNA
Rfam family: Bacterial small subunit ribosomal RNA
Source: RNAcentral